RNAcentral lists this ribosomal RNA (497 nucleotides) under uncultured bacterium. RNAcentral describes it as "partial 16S ribosomal RNA". It matches the Rfam family "Bacterial small subunit ribosomal RNA", at positions 28 to 507 of the family's 1533-position model. The record is from RNAcentral.
GAUGAACGCUGGCGGCGUGCCUAAUACAUGCAAGUCGAGCGAACGGACGAGAAGCUUGCUUUUCUGAUGUUAGCGGCGGACGGGUGAGUAACACGUGGAUAACCUACCUAUAAGACUGGGAUAACUUCGGGAAACCGGAGCUAAUACCGGAUAAUAUUUUGAACCGCAUGGUUCAAAAGUGAAAGACGGUCUUGCUGUCACUUAUAGAUGGAUCCGCGCUGCAUUAGCUAGUUGGUAAGGUAACGGCUUACCAAGGCAACGAUGCAUAGCCGACCUGAGAGGGUGAUCGGCCACACUGGAACUGAGACGCGGUCCAGACUCCUACGGGAGGCAGCAGUAGGGAAUCUUACGCAAUGGGCGAAAGCCUGACGGAGCAACGCCGCGUGAGUGAUGAAGGUCUUCGGAUAUUAAAACUCUGUUAUUAGGGAAGAACAUAUGUGUAAGUAACUGUGCACAUCUUGACGGUACCUAAUCAGAAAGCCACGGCUAACUACGUG